Molecule: unclassified non-coding RNA, 404 nt
Filed under: soil metagenome
Description: partial contains 5.8S ribosomal RNA, internal transcribed spacer 2, and large subunit ribosomal RNA
Rfam family: 5.8S ribosomal RNA (bases 1-122)
Source: RNAcentral
GAUGAAGAACGCAGCAAAAUGCGAUACUUGGUGUGAAUUGCAGAAUCCCGUGAACCAUCGAGUUUUUGAACGCAAGUUGCGCCCGAAGCCUUUUGGCCGAGGGCACGUCUGCCUGGGCGUCACGCAUCGCGUCGCCCCCCACAAUUCUCCGUAAAGGGAACGUGUGUUUUGGGGGCGGAUAUUGGUCUCCCGUGCUCAUGGCGUGGUUGGCCGAAAUAGGAGUCCUUUCGAUGGACGCACGAACUAGUGGUGGUCGUAAAAACCCUCGUCUUUUGUUUCGUGCUGUUGCUCGCAAGGUAAACUCUUUAAAAACCUCAAUGUGUCGUCUCUUGACGACGCUUCGACCGCGACCCCAGGUCAGGCGGGACUACCCGCUGAGUUUAAGCAUAUCAAUAAGCGGAGGA